UGAGUGUUAUGAUGGUGGUAUAGGUGAAGAGAAUAUAUCUUUUCUAACGAAAGUUGGCCUGUACUUAGUCUAGCUCUGGCUUUCCGGGGUAGGUUACCUACUCCGGA
This is a non-coding RNA of Streptococcus sp., 107 nucleotides long. The record is from Rfam. Lineage: Bacteria; Bacillati; Bacillota; Bacilli; Lactobacillales; Streptococcaceae.